UGGGACCUCAAGCUAAGCGGAAACCUGUGUA
Molecule: non-coding RNA, 31 nt
Filed under: Mus musculus (house mouse)
Lineage: Eukaryota; Metazoa; Chordata; Mammalia; Rodentia; Muridae
Source: RNAcentral